CCCUUAGAUGUUCUGGGCCGCACGCGUGCUACACUGAGUGGAUCAGCGGGUCAGGUUGCGCGAAAGUGUUUCCUAAUCUUUAAAUCCGCUCGUGAUGGGGAUUGACGGUUGCAAUUUUCCGUCAUGAACGAGGAAUACCUUGUAAGCGCGGGUCAUCAUCCCGCGCUGAAUACGUCCCUGCCCUUUGUACACACCGCCAGUCGCUCCUACCGAUUGAGUGGUCCGGUGAGGCUUUGGGAUCUGGGCGGAAAGAGCGUUUCGCUGUUUCUGCCCGGAAAACUCAGUCGAACCUUAUCAUUUAGAGGAAGGAGAAGUCGUAACA
RNAcentral lists this ribosomal RNA (322 nucleotides) under uncultured eukaryote. RNAcentral's name for it is "partial 18S ribosomal RNA". It matches the Rfam family "Eukaryotic small subunit ribosomal RNA", at positions 1470 to 1796 of the family's 1831-position model. The record is from RNAcentral.